This 73-nucleotide transfer RNA is filed under the name Cimex lectularius (bed bug). Its description in RNAcentral is "tRNA-Glu". It matches the Rfam family "tRNA". Rfam says of the family: Transfer RNA (tRNA) molecules are approximately 80 nucleotides in length. Lineage: Eukaryota; Metazoa; Arthropoda; Insecta; Hemiptera; Cimicidae. The record is from Rfam by way of RNAcentral.
GUCACGAUAGCUCAAGUGGUAGAGCAGCGGCGUUUCUAGCCGAAGGUCGUGGGUUCGAAUCCCGCUUGUGACA